This is a long non-coding RNA of Passer domesticus (house sparrow), 663 nucleotides long. RefSeq lists it as uncharacterized. NCBI's taxonomy places the organism in Eukaryota, Metazoa, Chordata, Aves, Passeriformes, Passeridae. The record is from RefSeq and is a predicted model, not a curated record. The transcript has 4 exons.
GGACAGCAUUUCUGGAAGGCACAGAGACACUACUGAUGUGCAUUUUCUGGUGGAGGGUGGUGUGAGGCAUGAAGCUUCCACUGAUUAUUUGGGGAACUUGGCUGGAACUUCAUUGGAAGUGUCUUCCUUCCCUCACCAGGAGCUGGAAGGGCAGCGUUUGGAGGCACAACAGCUGCUGGCACAACAGGCAAACUUCCUGGCAGAGGUAGAGAAGGAGCAGGAGAAAAGGCUGCUUGAGAUGAAGCAGGAAGUUGCCACCAUGCAAGCUGACCAAGAAGAGAAAAUACGGAGCCAUUGUCUCCUUGGAGCAACGCCAGCACUACAAGGAUGACUUCAAUGCAGAAUAUGAGGAAUAUCGGAAUUUAUAUUUAAAGAUUGACAAGACCAUCAAGAAGUUCAGACAUUUUCAGGAACAAUGGAAGUCUCUGACUCCAGGCUCCAAAGCCCAUCAGAUGCCGCAUCAUUGAGUCCCAGCAGAUUAUCAGCAGUUACAACAGGGUAGCCCCAGCUACUCUGAAAUAAGGAGCAGGUGCCAGUACCUCCACAAGAAGUUGGCCCAUAUUCAGAGCUGCAUUUCUGAAUUUGAGAAGCAGUGAGUGGAGUACUGGCACCAGACAUCUGCUUCAACAGAGGAACAUCUUUGAACUCAGGAUUUUUCACUUC